GUGGGAUUUCUAGUGACUAGCAUGCAUAUACAAUUCAAAAUUUAUAUACCAAAGCAACGGAAGCAUGUUAUCAAAUAAUAUCAAAGCUAUAGUCAUGCAAAUCCCCUUCAAGAUGCAUAGGUUUAUGUAAGAUGCAUCAAAACAAUUUAUUGAAGAACAAAGUGUAGGAGUAGUUUUAUACCUCUUGAUCUAGACUUUAGACCAAGGAUGGACCACCUCCAAGCCCUUUGUUGUUGGAACUCCUUGAGCCUAGCCUCCCUCCUUGCCUCCUCCACUUUGUUAGAAUGAGUGCUCCUUGGUUCUCCUUUAGUCUCCAAAG
Molecule: long non-coding RNA, 319 nt
Filed under: Malus domestica (apple)
Lineage: Eukaryota; Viridiplantae; Streptophyta; Magnoliopsida; Rosales; Rosaceae
Description: long non-coding RNA (MDOM_LNC018478)
Source: RNAcentral